UUGGAUCCAGACUUUGAUCCUGGCUCAGGAUGAACGCUAGCUACAGGCUUAACACAUGCAAGUCGAGGGGAAACGACAUCGAAAGCUUGCUUUUGAUGGGCGUCGACCGGCGCACGGGUGAGUAACGCGUAUCCAACCUGCCCAUCACUUGGGGAUAACCUUGCGAAAGUAAGACUAAUACCCAAUGAUAUCUCUAGAAGACAUCUGAAAGAGAUUAAAGAUUUAUCGGUGAUGGAUGGGGAUGCGUCUGAUUAGCUUGUUGGCGGGGUAACGGCCCACCAAGGCGACGAUCAGUAGGGGUUCUGAGAGGAAGGUCCCCCACAUUGGAACUGAGACACGGUCCAAACUCCUACGGGAGGCAGCAGUGAGGAAUAUUGGUCAAUGGACGAGAGUCUGAACCAGCCAAGUAGCGUGCAGGAUGACGGCCCUAUGGGUUGUAAACUGCUUUUAUAAGGGAAUAAAGUGAGAGUCGUGACUCUUUUUGCAUGUACCUUAUGAAUAAGGACCGGCUAAUUCCGUGCCAGCAGCCGCGGUAAUACGGAAGGUCCGGGCGUUAUCCGGAUUUAUUGGGUUUAAAGGGAGCGUAGGCCGGAGAUUAAGCGUGUUGUGAAAUGUAGACGCUCAACGUCUGCACUGCAGCGCGAACUGGUUUCCUUGAGUACGCACAAAGUGGGCGGAAUUCGUGGUGUAGCGGUGAAAUGCUUAGAUAUCACGAAGAACUCCGAUUGCGAAGGCAGCUCACUGGAGCGCAACUGACGCUGAAGCUCGAAAGUGCGGGUAUCGAACAGGAUUAGAUACCCUGGUAGUCCGCACGGUAAACGAUGGAUGCCCGCUGUUGGUCUGAAUAGGUCAGCGGCCAAGCGAAAGCAUUAAGCAUCCCACCUGGGGAGUACGCCGGCAACGGUGCAACUCAAAUGAAUUGACGGA
This 927-nucleotide ribosomal RNA is filed under the name uncultured bacterium. RNAcentral describes it as "bacterial SSU rRNA". It matches the Rfam family "Bacterial small subunit ribosomal RNA", at positions 1 to 917 of the family's 1533-position model. The record is from RNAcentral. RNAcentral also lists the same sequence under 1 other name.